This 2921-nucleotide ribosomal RNA is filed under the name Staphylococcus aureus M0831. RNAcentral's name for it is "bacterial LSU rRNA". It matches the Rfam family "Bacterial large subunit ribosomal RNA". Lineage: Bacteria; Bacillati; Bacillota; Bacilli; Caryophanales; Staphylococcaceae. The record is from RNAcentral. RNAcentral also lists the same sequence under 1 other name.
UUAAGUUAUUAAGGGCGCACGGUGGAUGCCUUGGCACUAGAAGCCGAUGAAGGACGUUACUAACGACGAUAUGCUUUGGGGAGCUGUAAGUAAGCUUUGAUCCAGAGAUUUCCGAAUGGGGAAACCCAGCAUGAGUUAUGUCAUGUUAUCGAUAUGUGAAUACAUAGCAUAUCAGAAGGCACACCCGGAGAACUGAAACAUCUUAGUACCCGGAGGAAGAGAAAGAAAAUUCGAUUCCCUUAGUAGCGGCGAGCGAAAUGGGAAGAGCCCAAACCAACAAGCUUGCUUGUUGGGGUUGUAGGACACUCUAUACGGAGUUAUAAAGGACGACAUUAGACGAAUCAUCUGGAAAGAUGAAUCAAAGAAGGUAAUAAUCCUGUAGUCGAAAAUGUUGUCUCUCUUGAGUGGAUCCUGAGUACGACGGAGCACGUGAAAUUCCGUCGGAAUCUGGGAGGACCAUCUCCUAAGGCUAAAUACUCUCUAGUGACCGAUAGUGAACCAGUACCGUGAGGGAAAGGUGAAAAGCACCCCGGAAGGGGAGUGAAAUAGAACCUGAAACCGUGUGCUUACAAGUAGUCAGAGCCCGUUAAUGGGUGAUGGCGUGCCUUUUGUAGAAUGAACCGGCGAGUUACGAUUUGAUGCAAGGUUAAGCAGUAAAUGUGGAGCCGUAGCGAAAGCGAGUCUGAAUAGGGCGUUUAGUAUUUGGUCGUAGACCCGAAACCAGGUGAUCUACCCUUGGUCAGGUUGAAGUUCAGGUAACACUGAAUGGAGGACCGAACCGACUUACGUUGAAAAGUGAGCGGAUGAACUGAGGGUAGCGGAGAAAUUCCAAUCGAACCUGGAGAUAGCUGGUUCUCUCCGAAAUAGCUUUAGGGCUAGCCUCAAGUGAUGAUUAUUGGAGGUAGAGCACUGUUUGGACGAGGGGCCCCUCUCGGGUUACCGAAUUCAGACAAACUCCGAAUGCCAAUUAAUUUAACUUGGGAGUCAGAACAUGGGUGAUAAGGUCCGUGUUCGAAAGGGAAACAGCCCAGACCACCAGCUAAGGUCCCAAAAUAUAUGUUAAGUGGAAAAGGAUGUGGCGUUGCCCAGACAACUAGGAUGUUGGCUUAGAAGCAGCCAUCAUUUAAAGAGUGCGUAAUAGCUCACUAGUCGAGUGACACUGCGCCGAAAAUGUACCGGGGCUAAACAUAUUACCGAAGCUGUGGAUUGUCCUUUGGACAAUGGUAGGAGAGCGUUCUAAGGGCGUUGAAGCAUGAUCGUAAGGACAUGUGGAGCGCUUAGAAGUGAGAAUGCCGGUGUGAGUAGCGAAAGACGGGUGAGAAUCCCGUCCACCGAUUGACUAAGGUUUCCAGAGGAAGGCUCGUCCGCUCUGGGUUAGUCGGGUCCUAAGCUGAGGCCGACAGGCGUAGGCGAUGGAUAACAGGUUGAUAUUCCUGUACCACCUAUAAUCGUUUUAAUCGAUGGGGGGACGCAGUAGGAUAGGCGAAGCGUGCGAUUGGAUUGCACGUCUAAGCAGUAAGGCUGAGUAUUAGGCAAAUCCGGUACUCGUUAAGGCUGAGCUGUGAUGGGGAGAAGACAUUGUGUCUUCGAGUCGUUGAUUUCACACUGCCGAGAAAAGCCUCUAGAUAGAAAAUAGGUGCCCGUACCGCAAACCGACACAGGUAGUCAAGAUGAGAAUUCUAAGGUGAGCGAGCGAACUCUCGUUAAGGAACUCGGCAAAAUGACCCCGUAACUUCGGGAGAAGGGGUGCUCUUUAGGGUUAACGCCCAGAAGAGCCGCAGUGAAUAGGCCCAAGCGACUGUUUAUCAAAAACACAGGUCUCUGCUAAACCGUAAGGUGAUGUAUAGGGGCUGACGCCUGCCCGGUGCUGGAAGGUUAAGAGGAGUGGUUAGCUUCUGCGAAGCUACGAAUCGAAGCCCCAGUAAACGGCGGCCGUAACUAUAACGGUCCUAAGGUAGCGAAAUUCCUUGUCGGGUAAGUUCCGACCCGCACGAAAGGCGUAACGAUUUGGGCACUGUCUCAACGAGAGACUCGGUGAAAUCAUAGUACCUGUGAAGAUGCAGGUUACCCGCGACAGGACGGAAAGACCCCGUGGAGCUUUACUGUAGCCUGAUAUUGAAAUUCGGCACAGCUUGUACAGGAUAGGUAGGAGCCUUUGAAACGUGAGCGCUAGCUUACGUGGAGGCGCUGGUGGGAUACUACCCUAGCUGUGUUGGCUUUCUAACCCGCACCACUUAUCGUGGUGGGAGACAGUGUCAGGCGGGCAGUUUGACUGGGGCGGUCGCCUCCUAAAAGGUAACGGAGGCGCUCAAAGGUUCCCUCAGAAUGGUUGGAAAUCAUUCAUAGAGUGUAAAGGCAUAAGGGAGCUUGACUGCGAGACCUACAAGUCGAGCAGGGUCGAAAGACGGACUUAGUGAUCCGGUGGUUCCGCAUGGAAGGGCCAUCGCUCAACGGAUAAAAGCUACCCCGGGGAUAACAGGCUUAUCUCCCCCAAGAGUUCACAUCGACGGGGAGGUUUGGCACCUCGAUGUCGGCUCAUCGCAUCCUGGGGCUGUAGUCGGUCCCAAGGGUUGGGCUGUUCGCCCAUUAAAGCGGUACGCGAGCUGGGUUCAGAACGUCGUGAGACAGUUCGGUCCCUAUCCGUCGUGGGCGUAGGAAAUUUGAGAGGAGCUGUCCUUAGUACGAGAGGACCGGGAUGGACAUACCUCUGGUGUACCAGUUGUCGUGCCAACGGCAUAGCUGGGUAGCUAUGUGUGGACGGGAUAAGUGCUGAAAGCAUCUAAGCAUGAAGCCCCCCUCAAGAUGAGAUUUCCCAACUUCGGUUAUAAGAUCCCUCAAAGAUGAUGAGGUUAAUAGGUUCGAGGUGGAAGCAUGGUGACAUGUGGAGCUGACGAAUACUAAUCGAUCGAAGACUUAAUCAA